Molecule: long non-coding RNA, 697 nt
Filed under: Phasianus colchicus (ring-necked pheasant)
Lineage: Eukaryota; Metazoa; Chordata; Aves; Galliformes; Phasianidae
Description: lncRNA (ENSPCLG00000002843.1)
Source: RNAcentral
GAAGAAAGAAACCACCCCUGGCUAAGCUGCUUCUGGAUGAUAUGAAAGUGAAGUUGCUGGGAGCUUUGCAGGGAACAGUAGAGAGGUCCUCCAGCUGAAGGAGAAUGUGUCUGCAGAGGCCGACCUUAGCUCAAUGCCUGCAACUGCGACCCCCUGACCAAGAGGCAGAUUUGAGAUCAGACUACCUAAAGGAGUUUACUCUGCAGUGUGGUGUUUCAAUGCAAUUACAUCACAGACACCGGCAGGUCAGGGCAAGCUCAGCUCCGGGAGCUGGAGAGGCUUCUCUUGGGUCUUCUACCUGCAGGACUGGGGCUGCAGAGGUGGGACUCACAUAUCUGCAAUGAGCAUGGACCUGGAGUAGAAAUAUACAGUCAUAAGUGAGGAAGUUCAGUAGUGCUAGCAGGCACAAAACGUAACAAAAAAUUGUUUCAUUCAGUGAAUUCCCCAGAGGUGCCUGGGAAAACAUCGAUCAGCUAUAAAAGAUCCAUUUACUCACAAAUACUGUUUAGAGUAAAACUCUGCUUUGAAGUUUUGGAGGCACUUUCGCAACUGAGGGGUUUGCCCUGCUGUCCUUGGCCAAAAAUAGUCACUUCUCUUAUUUUUGUCCUGCUAAUAUACGCCAGCUGGCUGCCACCCUCCAUUCCAGACACGGCUGCAUUUCACUUCUGCUGUUUAUGUAAAGUUUGUGCAGUGUGAU